UCUUCCUUUCCUCUAAUUUGUAUAAAUGUAACACCCUGGGCACUUAUUGUUUUAAAUGAGGUGGACUGCCACUCAGAACAACAGAAGUGUAGGAGGGAAUGUGUUGGCUUAUAUAGUUAUGACGAUUUAGGAGUGAGAAUGAAUGAAUUUGGACUUCGUUCAACAGAGGGUUCUGCAAACAAUGGCACUAAAUUCUCUCUCUCUCUCUCUCUCUCUCUCUCUCUCUCUCUCUCUCUCUCUCUCUCUCUCUCUCGUGUAUGGGGGCGGGGUAUAUACAUAUGGACAGAGGUCAGAAGUGGUUGUUCUGUGGACCUGGAAUUUCAGAUAGUUGUGAGGCACCCAAUAUGGAUGUUGGUCCUUGGAAAGCAUCAUCUCUAUAGCCAUUUUUCCUGCCUCCGUUCCUUCUUCCCUUCUUUACCUGCAUCAUGUCAUGAUCCUCCCAUUCAAGCAACUGUUCAUACUAUUCUCCUUUAGGUCACCUCUGCCUUCCUCUGGAGUUCUGGCUGAUAACAUCAAGUCCAAAUUCUGCUGUUCUGAGAAACUGGACUGAUGUUCCCAGUGGCAUGAUUAUAGGUGCUGUUCACGUUUAAACAACCAUGGCACUGGCAAGUCUAGCAGGAGGUUGGUGUUCAUGAUGGCACAUUGAGUUUUCUUGAAGAAAGGGAGCUUUCUUCAAAGACAUCUGAGUCCUUUAUAUACAAAGGAAACAAGGGAGUGACUGGUGAGCUUAUGGGUAAGGCAAGUUUUAUUAUUUCUUCUCAAAACAGGAAUCUGUUAGUCUUGGCUGGCAGAGGUGUGUAGAACAGUGGUACAUGAUCACAAAUAGUCUGUAGGUUACUCUCUGAUCAUUCUGAAGUCCACCUUUAUUUGGUUUUCCUAUCUUUAUGUCCUUCUUCCAAGAGGAACAUAGAUCCAUUAAUUUAAAUUUCUUCCUUUGAGAGAUCAAAACCACAUCCUCUUACACACAGUCUCUUGUCCCCUGAGUAAAGGCUAGAACAAAGGAAUUUCUAAGUAGUCACACACAAAACACAUAGUACAGUAUGUGUUGGGCUAGAUCCCGAACUUUAAAAUGAAAAUAUAGCUCUCCUUUGUAACAGGUGCCUCAUCUCAAUCCAAAAAAAAUAAAAAAAUUUAAAAAAUCAAAUUUCCUGAAAGUGGCUGUGUUUUGAAAUGCUUCAUUUCUAAGUGUCAUAGGCCUAGCUUGCCCCCUCGAUGCUAAUGCAUGUGUAUAUUUUUCAAAUGUACCUCUUGGGAACAUUACAAUAAAACAUUUCAUUAUCUAUCUCCCUUUUAUUUUUUUUCCAAGUGAUGUCUCUGCUAGAUAUAGAAUGCAUGUAAUUCACUGUUGCUUUUAAUUUGUCAGUACAUUAAUUUUAGUUGAUAAAGAAGUUAACUGGAUCUGCUGUCCCAGUUAUCGUUCAUAAUUCACACUCAUGUGCCUCUGCUUCUCCAAAUCUCUGGUGGGGGGGGGGGGGUUAUAUAGCUUUUAAGUCGUCAUUGACCCAAGAGACCGUUCAAGGGUGAUGAUAGUUUUGCAAGCUGGUUUGUAUGCAUCAGUCAUGACCUUUUCUCUAAAGACACCCAGCUGCUCUUAGCUGCACCUUGACCUCCAAAAGACACUUAUUACGAAUCAAUUUCAUAGAUUCUCCUGAAAUAAUCCAGAAUGUCUCUGGUAGGAAAUAAUAAAAGGGCACCAAUUUAUUGUCCUUUAGAAGUUGCAAAGAGCAAAUGAAUCAUGAAUUUUCAAUGAACGUCUAGGGACUCUAUUAAGUUUCUCAUGGGUUACUUUCAGCUGUACUAUCAUGUCCUAAAAUUUGAGGGAAGGGGGAGGUAACCUUUUUAGACGCUACAGCAAUUUCUGAGUACAAAGAGGCAUAAGUGUUCUCUCUGUGUGCAAAUCCAGAAUCCCAGUAGGCUGUAUGGGAUAGGAUGUGAGUUUGGAAGAGAUGACCAUGGGCCUGAUGCUUGUUUACAUUUUAAUCAAAUGGGGACUCCAAACGUUAGCGAACAUUCUUGGGAGUCCAACAGAUUUCGUUCUUGAAGUCAUUUAACAUAAUCCUGCAAUUAGAUACUGACCUUUCCUUUUUUCAUUCUAUAACAAAAAUUUGUACACAGUUGGUGCCUAAUAAGUGCUGGUGGAGAUGAACUUAAGUCCGACCUCAAUUAUUUCCCCGUCUAUGAUUUUUAUUAAAUCCAUUUCUUAUCACCGUGGAUACACACACGGACAUGACUUUGCUUCCCGAUGCCCCUGCCUUUAUUUCAAAAGUUUUUACUGGAGCAUGUCAGUGAAACACGCAUUUCAGAGCAAAUGCGGACUAGAUAGCAGCAACUGUGCUUCAAAGAGUUUGUACACUGGGAUAUUAAUUUCCAUUUCAGAGUAUUUCUAUCCAUGCAAGAUGGAUGCUCUGCUUUCAACUUAUUAGUUACAUAAAUGAGCUUAUCUAUUUCUAAUUUUGACUUAAUAUAAAAAGCAUCGCAUUUUAGGUUUCAUCCGUCUAAUUUUCAUCUCGUAUAAUUAUUUGUGGUAAGCUGCCAUCUGUUCACCAGGUUCAUGCGGAUAAUAUUGGAUAAUAUUAAAGGUAUGUGUUCUCCAGUAGUGGAAUAUCUACAUUCAUAAGUCACGCUGCGUUUCCCAGGGACCCAGGGACGCGGUGGUUGAAACCAGGCUGCUCCCAGGGAAAGCCAUGUCACCACAGCAAUACACAAGAAGAAGCGCUCCUUAGUCCUCUCUGUCAUUUCCAGUUAUGGUUUAAAGCAGGUGGCUGAUUCUCAAAGACCUUCCUUACCGUAGGCGAAAAUGUAAAACUUAUUUUGAUGACUUCUUCUCUCCUCAGCCUCCCAGCCAUCUUGAAAGGCUCUUCUGUCCUCUUUGAUAUCACCAGCACUUCAAAGGAAAUUGAGAGCCUCGGUUCCUUUAGCAAAUGAUUCAGGUAGCAGCAUGCGGAUCCCUCUAAAUGGUAUAAAGCCCUGAUGCAUAGGUGAAGGCUGGUAAGAUUUACAUAAUUCGAGUUUAUUAGCCUCCUGCGCUUGAAGGCUGUUUUGUACCUCCCCAGACUUGUGCAAAAAUGGUUGGGUGAUAUUGAAAAGAGCCCAGUCUGCAGCAACUUGGAAAACAAUCUACUUCACACCAAAUACAGCUACGAAAUACAUGCCAACUUUUCCUUCUUUCUAUUAAUAAGCAUUUGUUCUAGAGCCUUUGUAGUCCCUCCACCACUGCAAAAGUUGCCACUUCUUGAGAAACAUAGACAAAAUAUUUACAAAGCAUAUAUGGGGCUAGAGUGGCAGGCAUUUUCAAACACAAUCAAGGAAAAACCGAUCAAUUUAUUUAUUUAUUUAUUUAUUUAUUUAUUUAUUCAUUCGGCUUUGUAUCUUGGUAGCUCACAUAGCAUUUUAUUGAUGGUGUUUGCCUUACAAACAACAUAAGCUCAAGUCUUUAAGGUCCUUUGUUAUAACCUGUUACAUCUUCAGCCUCUUAAUCUACUUUUUAAAAGGUGGUUUAUCUCAGUAAAAACAAAAUGAAAAUGAUAAAUAAUCUGUUUUUCUCAUUUAUGGUGAGAGCACCCAGUAUUUUGGUCACGACUAUGAAUGUUUUCAAAACUGUCAAGUGAAAGGAUUUCUACACUUCAUCUAAAUUGAUAAAGCUGGCAUGUGUAACGAGAUUUCUCAACACGGUUAUAUCAGGAGUAAAGUAAAGAACUAAUAAUUAUAAUAAUGGUAAGCAACAUACCCUGGUUGUUAGAAGCCAGUUGUCUUCCUGUGGACUAUCCUGUACCCAACCGUUUAAUUCUUAUAGUAACUCCAUGAAGCAAAUGCUAGGAACAUUAAGUUAAAGAAGAAAAAGGUGGUUGCAGGUAGUUAGCCUUAGUACUACCCAAGUACCCUACUGUGAGUGAUAGCUUGAGCCAGAAUUCAGAGGCAAGCAUUCUAUUUCAAGAAUCUUCUGUCAUUGAUGAAAUGCCCCUUAUAUUAAAAUAUACUGGUUUAUUCAUAUUUGAGUAAAAUGCAUAUGAAGGUUACUAUUUCAACUAUUUUGAAAUGUAUCAUUGAGUGCUACUAACAUGUUUAUUCUAUAAACGUAAACAUCAUCUAUUUCUAGAACUCUCUUUGCCUUGGAACACUGAUGCCCUGGACCCUUUGAUUAUAGCUCCCUAGUUCUUUCUCUCCAUGACCCCAGUCAACAUUCGUUCUGCCCUCUCUCUUUUGUAACUGCUACUCUUCUAGGUAUUUCAUACAUCAACAUAUAUGAAUCUCACAUAUCUGCCUGUUUUUGUCUUUCUUACAUCACUGGGCAUAAAAUCUUCAAGGUUUAUACAACUGCUGAUAGUAUGUAAAUGUUAUUUCAUAAAUGGCUAGGACCACAGAGCACUCUGGAUUUCCUUGUAUGUACAAAUACACAUGACUAAACACAAACAUCUCGGGUUUCUGUCAUAUCAGGAAAUACAAGAAACAGAAGAGGGAGUAUGUAGCUUUGUCCCACUUCUUCUGGGUAAAUAUUUCAAGUAAAAGGAGUCAUGGAUUCAGAUACUGUCAUGUCAAAAUUGAAGAUGAUGAAGAAACUUCAUGCCAUGGUGAAGAAUCUAGAGCCAAAUUUAGCCUGGAAUACCACCAGCACUGUGGUUCUUCCAGAGAUACUAUUCAGUAUCUCUUGUAUGAAUGGGAUAGACAUCAUGGGGUGGAGAAGUUAAAAGACGAAUACAGUGGGCCCUAGGACGUCUCCAUCACCGAAUGCAGAGCACUCUUUACUUGUAUCAACAGAGAAGAUAUUUGAUGCUUUCUUUCCUUUAUUGGUAUCAUAAGGUAAAACUCUCCCAUGUAGUCCAGAUAUGGGCAACAGAACAUGUAUAAGAAUGUAUAUUUUCUGGAUCAGCAUCUAUAAACCAUAGGUUUUCGGGUACAGGAAAGUGAACACUAGUUCUCUAUCUCAGAAUUACUAUCACUGAUUAUAAUUAUAUCCAUGUGUGCAUUGCUACAGAUACAGUAACUACUGUGAACUAACAUGAACAAGCACCAUUCUGGCCCCUUUUCCCCGUUUCAUAUGAGUCUCCCAUACCAUGUCAGUCUUGCACCUUUCUUGUGGUAUUUUUAUCUCCUCACAGAAGAUUGGCAAGAGAGAGAGAGAGAGAGAGAGAGAGAGAGAGAGAGAGAGAGAGAGAGAGAGAGACAGUCAGACAGACAGACAGACAGACAGAGACAGAGAGAGACAGAGAGAGAGAGAAAUUAGUCCAAUGUCACAAUGUUGGCAAAUGGCAGAACAUCCGGAGUUGCAAGUAAGAACACUCUUGAUCAAUACUAUCCCCUUGAGUAACUUUCUCCACCUCACAAUGCAAAGUGUUCUCUACCAUAUACGUGUGGGUUGGUAUUUUUCGAAUCUCAAAAGACAUUUCAUUUGAUGCAUGCCUCACUUGUUUUAUUUACACAUUAUAAGAGAGUAAGCUGUUUUGUCCCUUUCUCGGUUAUUAAAAGAUCAAGGAGCUUCAUUUCAUAUGAGCAAACCAAGUGUGAAUCCAGAACUUUUCCUCCGAUGUUAAGAACAGGACCCUGACAUUUGAAUCUCCCUGAAAUCUGAAUUUAGGAGAAAACAACAGAAACAAAAACAAACAAAGAAGCAAACAAAAACCCAUCUCUGUAGCAAGGGAGAUGCUACUUUCAGGAAAAGAUAAUGGAACCCAAAAUGGCAUGCUGGUCACUCUUCAUGUUUCUCUUGUGCAGCUGACUAAAUUGCUGACUCAGAGAACUGUUCUUUUUGAAAGGCUUGCUUCUCAUUCGAGAUAGGUGAAGAGUUUCAAUCUGGAAGAAAAGUGCAUGAGCGCUCAAGGAAAAGCACCUUGGAGAGUGAACACUGUUUUCUUUACUUUGAUUCCCUUCCCAUAAAGGGAAUAUGCAAUGUUAAUGAAUUAAGCCCUGAUGCCAUCUUCAGCCCCGCAUUUACUGACGAGCAAUUCUUCGACAAGUAUGAAUUCUCUGUCUACAUGUGAGUAAUAAAAAAGUUUAACAUCUGCUGUAAUCUAAUCAUCUAUCUAGGUACACAGUUUUUAUAGCAGGAAGGGGGGAAACGAAGCAAAAUCCCUUAAUGAUGAAUUGCUGAUGUGAGCCAGAAUCCUAAGGACCACUUAGGCGUGUGCUUUAUGGUCCUUGUUAUCCAACAUUACCUAUGGAAGCCCCUGAACUACACCCAUUCUUACUAUUAACAACAUAAAUAGUGAAGAGUCAAAAGUGGGCCCAUUUGGGACAACUGACCAAAACCUUUCUGAGUGCUCUGUAGGGACCAGAUGCCCAACACUGGCCCUUCACGACAUGGAGACAGUGGCCAAUUGCCAUUGUGAAAAAGAUAGGAUCAUGUUUCAGCUUUCAGAUAUCAUUUAUUAGUAUUAACAAGAGGCUCGUUUCUGUGCGAGUAAAUUCUCAAAGAAAACGUGCAUAGCAGUGUGUUCACCAGAAAUAUGCUGAAGUGUUCAGAUUUAACUUAGAUAAUCAGUACAUAUAGUAUACAGUUGAGUCUAAUUUAUGAUCCAUAACAUCUCCAGGAAACUUUCUCAAGUUCACCAUGCUACAGCGAUAUGAUUAUCAUGGGAAGAGACUUAACCCCUCUGCCACCCUCCAAAAUAAAUCCUUCUGUAUGUCCCUCAGAUUAGGAUAAUCUGAUAUUGUUGGAGGGGUUUGUGAUGCCACGUAUAUAGGCUCUGAUAUAAUAAUAUGAGGUUUUCUGCAUGCUGAUGGUAAUCAGACAGGUGGAUCUUUUCUUGUGUUAAGAGCCUUGAAAGACUCUUUUAAUGUAGCUGAGUUGCUGAGACGAUGAGAGGUAAUUCCAAGUACACAGAACUUGUAUUACUCAUUAUAAAAAUCCAAUGAAGUGGGAGGGAGGCAGAGACAGGCAGAUUUCUGAGUUCGAGGCCAGCCUGGUCUACAAAGUGAGUUCCAGGACAGCCAGGGCUAUACAGAGAAACCCUGUCUCAAAAAACAAAAAGACAAACAAACAAACAACCCCACAAAAAAUCCAAUAAAGCAGUCUCUCCCUCUCCCUCUCCCUCUCCCUCUCCCUCUCCCUCUCCCUCUCCCUCUCCCUCUCCCUCUCCCUCUCCCUCUCCCUCUCCCUCUCCCUCUCCCUCUCCCUCUCCCUCUCCCUCUCCCUCUCCCUCUCUCUCUCUCUCUCUCUCUCUCUCUCUCUCUCUCUCUCUCUCUCUCUUUCUCUCCUUUUCCUUCCAUGAUGUCCAAUGACAUCAGGAGUGAUGUAAGGAAAAGCUGAGUCCCUGGUUCAACUUGAGCGUGCCCCCCCAACCCCCAAUAUGAUGAUGUCAUUCAUGCUUCAGAGCCAACCUGUAAAUAUGAAUACAGUGUGCUUCUUAUCUGAUACAUGAGGCUCCCUGUGGGUAGGGAACACACCCACCAUCACAAAGAUGGUAGAUGGUGGACUUGGGAUUUAAAAGUAACUGCUUUAAUCUUAAAUCUGUGAGUAGCUGUGGUGUAUAACUACAUCACCACUUUAGUUCUUCAUGGCACUGGUCUAAAUGUGACCUCUCUUCAGAAAGGUCUAAUGGUGACUGAUUUCUGGUGAGACCCUCCCAAUCUGGUUACCUUCUCUACUCUUUAGGCAUUGAAAUGGUUCUUUACACUUAAAGAAAAGAUAAACCUGGCACUUGCCAGCACUAUGCCCUUUUCAUGGCCCACUGGACUUUUGAGGGUCUCCAAUGAGAGUUUGGCAUUUCACUGUUGAUGCUUCAUUUCUCUACCAUAGACCUUUGUGAUGCCUAAGGACAAAUGUCUCUAUUUGUGUCACAAUAGCACAGCCACACCAUUUUACAUUCUUUUGGGUUUGGGAGGAUAGAUCAAGUUCAUUUCCAACCUCAUAUCUCACAGCCUCCAAAACCCUAACAAAGCAGAUUAAACUGAAUUAAUACAGAUACUCUACAUGUAUAUACCAUGUGACAAGUUACUUCAUUCUGUCCUUUCCUGAUCCUUGUCUAUAUAUUAAUAGACAUGGUUAUCUCCUACCAUAAGAAAAUCUUUCAGAGGACAUAUUUUCUCGGAAAACUAAAUUAUCUUUGUUACUGAACAUCUAUGAAUGAGUUAAUUUUUAAAUAUUACUGACUUGGAAUACAUUGAUGGAAAAUAACUUUUCAAAGUACACUUAAGUUGCUAUUAUGGGAACAUACAUCUUCUGCUUCACCCAGAUUCUAGUUUAGAUUACAGAUUUUCAGAUGCAGUUUACAUCUAAGCAGUCUAUAGACUAUAUUUAGGAGGCCUCAAAUACUAUUGCUUAAAAACGUGCUUUAGAAUUGGAGUUUUUUGCUACUUGUGUCCAAGUUGCAUAGUGUAAUGAAGACAGACAUCACACAAUAAAGUAGGUAUCAUCUAGAAAAAUAUGUCGUGAUUUUUGGAUCAUUGAUAAUCUCAAAAUUUUAUCUUCAAGUGAUGCUCAGCUUUGGUAAAACAAAAUUGAAAAUAUAAUAAACAAACAAUGAAUGAAUGAAUGAAUGAAUGAAUAAAUAAAUAAAGGUGAGACCAUGUAUAAUUUUUAUGGCAAAAUGAAGCAUUUUCUAGAUCUUUCAAAAACAUCAUCAAAGUAUUUUCAUUGCAUAAAAAUAUCUUUUAUUCUGACAAUUUUGUACACGUGUACAGUAUUCUUUGAUCACAUCAAUCCUUGUUUGGCAGGUGGAAAGGAUGGAGCCUAUGCAUUUUCAGAGAGAUCUUCAAAUGAGAUAUUUAAACUUUGCUCCAGAGAACCCUUCCUAAAUUUUAUGACAACAGAGGCAGUUCUUGGCUCAUUUUCAUAUUUGCUGUAGUGAAAAGGCUAGAAUUAUGAUGCAGAAAAGAGAAGCUUUUAUAGAACACCAUGAUACUGAAUCAGCUGAAAUAAAAUUUUAUGUGGUAGUCCAUUCUUCAGUUCCGACAUGAUUUAUAUGUGUGCUAUGACACUUACACAUCCACUUUAUAGAUGAUUAACUAUUUAGUCAAACCUUAUAUUUGUGGAUAUUUGUGGGGUAACAAAGUUCAUCAGGAUCUUGAUCAGAAGAAGUAAACCCCACAACCUGGUGCCUGUUGUCUUCCUGUUUAAUUAGAGCAUCAUUUCACCAGCAGAAUAUCCCACUUGAGUACAAAGAGGGUUGCUAGAUGUUUUCUAGUUCCCACAGUUAAAAUAUUCUAUUCUGCAAUGCCAGAGAGCUUGUAUGUGAGUGUUGGAAAUAAGCAGAAAGUGAAAACCAAAGUAUUGAAGUAAGAGGAGAAUCUAAAGUCCCUGUGUCCAUCACACAUGGGGAAACAUUAAAUGAAUGUGAAGCUGCAUCUAUUGAUAGCUAUGAGAGUUGUCCCAUAAACGUAUCAGCUUUGGCUCCCAGCAUUCAUGGAGGAGACUCAAGUCCUAUAGAAAUCAUAAAGUCACCAGGUAAAGUUAUGUUUGACUCUGUUUCUAAAAUCUAUAACUGUCCUUUCUUUCUGAUGAAACCCACCAUCAAAUAUAGAUGACUACUUCCUUGAUAUCACCGUCCCAUUUAUGCAAUUUAUAAGAAUGGGGACAGUGAGUCAUUGAUUCUCAAAUGAAGUAUGUGUCUAUAUAUCCCAGCUUUCUGCAUAUAGUACUCAAAAGAAUUCAGCAGUCUUAAGAUUUAAGAUACACAGGGAAAGACUGAAAAAUCUCCUUAAAACUUGUAGCUAUUUGCUUCCUUGCUUGUUUUUAUGAUAAAAACAACAACAACAACAAAAAUACCACCUCUCUACCUCUCUGGUGCUCAGUUAAAUGUUCUUUUACUGGCUUUUGUUGUUUUUGUUUGCUUGCUUGCUUUGUUGUUGUCUUUGAUUUCUUGAAACAGGAUCUCAUGAUGUAGCCCUGGCUAUCUGGAGCUCACUAUGUAGAUCUGGCUGGCCUCCAAUGCACAGAGAUGUGCCUGCCUCGGUCUCCCACAUGCCAGGAUUCAAAGCAUGUUUCUCCAUGCCUGUCUACAUUUUCUAUUUUGAAUAAUGUUACUCAUAAACACAAACAUCUCUCUCCUCCAAAUGAUAUGCAAAGUAAUGUUACUUUCUCACUUUGUUAUUCUAUAUUAAAUGUGACUCUUCAUAAUCGUUCAAUCUUAAUUAAAUUGUUCUCUCAUAUACUUUACCAGAAAAGUUGAAUCUCAAGUCAGAUAAAAGUAGGAGUUGUUAGAUUUCUUUUUUAUUUAAAUCUGAAAAUUGGAUGAUUUGGAUGAUAGACUGAGUACUCAUCAAAGCAGGAAUUAGUCUUAACAGUGCAUCAAAACACACAUUUUUAUGUUUGUGUAAUUAAGUUUUAAUAAACAUGUUUGAUGGUUACUUGAAAAACAUAAUUUUUCUAUGCAGGAAUGACAUCUUAUACACUAUGAUAUAAAGAGACUUGCAAGACCAUUUGUUUUUAAUUAUAUUUUGAUUAUGAUAAGCAUUUGUUAUUUUUCUAAGUAAAGAUUCAAUUAAUCUUAUAAAUAGAUUUUCUAAAUUUGAGGCUUAAAGGCGAUAUGUCAGACACAACUCUGUAUAUGCACUGCAGUCAGUUUGGGCUUUUUCUGACAUCUUCUAGAAUAUUUGUUAUUGUGUGCAACAUUUUAAUUAGGGCCACAGUUUUGAAAGUGUUUACAAGAUUUCUGUAAUACAAGUGUUCUGUUAAAUGAAUCGUUAGUCAUUAAGAAAUUACAUUUGGAAUUAUUUUUUAGAUUGCUAGUUGAGUUUUUAUUUCAUUCUUGGCUUUUUACAUUUUUAGACAUGGUACAUUUUUAUUACCAGUUGACACCUUGGAAUUAUUCAAGUAAAGCAUGAAAUCAAGAUGUUUUAGACCCACAUAAACAUACAUGGCUCAAGGAAACUAUAACUGAUGGAAAUUUGAGGUGGAGGCACCUUGCAUCUGUUCUGGUGCAUAAAAAAUUGUCUAAUACCUAUUUGAGAAAAAUUCAAGUAAAUACUUUUGAAAUAUAUUGUAAUCACCACUAAGCAUCACAGCUAAAAGCAGGUUUUAAAAGCAUCUUAUGAAUGAUGAGACCAGGAUGUGGCUUUAGGAGCGGGGCAUGGUUCAGGCUGUCAGAGCCAACUCAGUAGAGUUGCUAGGAGGGGGCAUGGUUCGGGCUGGCAGAGCCAGCUCAGUAGAGUUGCCUUUUCUCAGUAAUCCAGCAUGGGGACUAUUCCUUGGCUCGUCGUGGGAACACAAGGCAACAGCGAAAGUUCUAUAUCCACUUUCAAUUGCAAAGAGGAGUCUGGAGAAAAACGAUUAAUUAAAAAUAAAAAAAAGAAAGAAUAAAGAACCCUGAAGCAAGCAGCUGACAGAAGUAUUAUGCAUGUUAGUUGAGGAAAUUUGAUAAAGGGCAACUGCUAAAUUAUCCAGAACCUUCAUCUUCAAAAAUAGCUGGAUAUUUUUUAAUGUGUCCACUAAAGUCUCUAACUCUCAGUUUACUCAUCUGCCAAUUAAUGGAGGAGUUUAAGACUUGACAAGACUCUGGCUUCUCUUAAAAAAUAAAUUGCAUAACUCAGAAAGUAUGUGAUCUUUCUUGUGAAGGGGUUAGCACCUCACUGCAGGGUCUAGCUUCCCAACUCUGUACGUUUGUGUGUGUGUGUGUGUGUGUGUGUGUGUGUGUGUGUGUGUGUGUGUGAGAGAGAGAGAGAGAGAGAGAGAGAGAGAGAGAGAGAGGAGAGAAAUCAUCUUUGCUGUAUCAAGUGAGAGGCUGAGAAUCUCCCAAUGUAGACUUAGAAGUAUGGUCCUGUUUUGUUUCCCUUUGGAUAAAGGCUUGCAUUUGUUUGUGUGCUUGUUUUCUUGUUAUCAGACAGGUAUUGACUAUAUAACAAGGUUUUCUAAACAUUUAUAAGUAAGAAGGGAAUUAACAGCACCUUUCUAAGGUAAAAUAAAAUUUAAAAUGAAAAGAAAAAGGAAAACAUGGGGGCCUAGAAAGAUGACUCAGAGGUUAAGAGCCUAUAAUGUUCUUUCAGAGAACCCAGACUUGGUUCACAGGCACCUGUGGUUCUGUCUCUAAGGGACUCAACACACUCAUCUAGCCUGCAUAGACACCUACAUACACAUGCACAUACCCACACAAGAAACACACACAAUCUUAAUUAAAAAUGAAACCAUGGCAAAGGAGAAGGGGGCGUGAAAAUUAUAUGCAUUAUGGUAAGCCUUCAAGUGUAAUCAGCUAUACUGAUGUUUAAAAAUAAGGAAUUAGUUCUGAACAAUGGUAAAUUUAAUAAGAUAUUAAUAACGGUAUUAUUCAAAGGUAGUUGUUACCUUCUAACGUGUCAAAUGAUUGACAUUCACAUUGACCAGAAAGAAGUGACUGGUUAUAUAGCACGGAUGUGUCUUCCAACAUUCCCACAGCUCUGCGGGUCAGGUGGGUGUAGGGGGAUAGGCUCUCCAGCAAGGAAGCUAGAGAAAGAGAAGAGUUGAGAGAGAUUUAACGACGGGAAUGUGGAGGAAGAGAAAGUAACCUGCAAUUCACAGCUUCGAAGGAUAGUUGUAUAGGAACUAGAUGGAGUGUCAAGAGGCUGCAGAUGGAGGACUAGCAUGGAUGUAAGGCAGAGCCCUUCUACUUAUUCAUUUCCAGACAUUCUUCCUUCAGAGUACAAUUCCAUUACAGGUGCACUAGCUGGAGAUACACCAUUUGUUUACCUGUCUCUUGUUCUUUAAGCCAUCUGUGGUUUGUGGAAAUUGAUAAUCCAGCUAAAUCCAGGGUAUAGGAUUUAUUAUUUAUUAUUAAUUAUCAUUAUUAAUUGUUACAUUGGUUUCCAGAACAAGUAUUUCUUAAUCUCUUUCUUCUUUCUUAACAUGGAUAGCCCACAUGGAAUUUCUUUUUCUAACCAUCUGUGGCCCUCAUUUGGAUAUCAGGUUGGGGUUUUGUUUUUGUUUUUGUUUUUGUUUUUGUUUUUGUUUUUAAUUUUUUGGGGUUUUUUUUUUCAGGGAAAUGAAGAUUACUAAAGUUUGUUCCCCAGGGAUUUUCAUCAAUUGAAGAUUCCUUUUUACCUCUCUGAUUGGAAAUUAUAGAUGGCGUUUUAAGUGUAAAGUAAAAUACUGUCCUUAAGCCUCCUCUUACAAAUGCACUAUUUGUCUUCCUGUGAUUGUUUAAUCUUGUUUUGACAGCAGAUAGAACCCUAGAAUUUGUUGGGCUUUUAUUUCAAAUUAGCUACUGUCCUAAAUAACUAAUUUCUACUACUAUCCAUCAGGCUAAAAUGGGCUUGUUUGCUUGACUGAGGAUGUUAAACUAUCUGUUGGGAGACACAAAAGGACUUGCCUUGGCUUUGAAAGGAGACGGGUCGGAAGCUGGAAAGUGAUAUUCCCCCCUCCCAGUCUCUUCAUAUCUCUAUGGUUCCAUUUAUCUUUUUUUAUAAAGACUCUAUCUGAAGAAAAAUUAAAAGUUAAAAAAAAAACCUUCUUGCUAAACAGACAGUUUAAUUGGUUCCACUAUUUUUGGAAACUGCGAGAUAAAUGCUACAUGUGAAGUUAAUAAACCAUAAUUGGAAUUUGCUUAAGAGUCUUCUUGCAUUCCACGUGGGCCCAUUCACCGCAGGAAGCAAUAGGACCUAGCUGGGUUGCAGUAAUAUAUAAGCCCUUUUCAAAGAACAGUGUGACUUUCUGCAUGACCUUGAGGAAUGUAAUAACUGUUCUAGGUCCCCACUGGACAAUAAACAAAUUGGGGUGGGAAUUGAAGACUAAAAACAAAUACUGUAACUUAAGAAAAAAAAUAAAGAGAAAGUAGUCCAGCAACUGCUAUUUCACUUCUCAGAUGAUAAAGGCUGUUGUAUAUCUGCCAUUUUCACACAUUUUUAUAGUUCUUUUUUCCUCCCAGAAUGACUUUAAUCUUUAUUUGAUUAAUUUUCAGCUAUGUAAGUACAUGGGUUUACCUCUGCACAUGAGCUACCACCUGGGUUUUCCAUAUUAUCAAGUUAUCAGAGACCACCCAUCCAUGGUAUUUACUGGACAGAGUUGCUAUUAUCGUUGCUGUUAUUUCUGUUAAGGAUACAAAGUUGCAUAUAGAGAGAUGUAAAUAAUUUAAUCUCAAACAUGAUAUUCUCAUAGAACUUGGUCCUUUAAUACAUGUUAUCAAUUUGAAAUAUGUAUCAACUUCUUUAAAGAGCUAAGAACAAGAUAAAUCUCAUUUUCUACUUCAUUAUGAUUUAAAAUUUACAAUUAUCUUUUUCUUACAUGAAUGCCCUGAUGAGCACCUAUGCCUAUGCACACAUACACCUAUGUGCUUGCAUACAAGUCAGGGGACUAAUUGCAGGCAUCAGGCUUCAACUUCUUCCAUGUUGGACUUGGGGAUCAAACUCAAUUGGUUAGGCUUGGUGACAAGAACCUUAGCACCUCACCCAUUUGCUGGCCCUCAACCUUAAACUUUUAAGAAACAUUUAAAAAUGUCCCUGGAGUGUAUUUUUAAAGGGAACUUUAUAGGGAUAAGUCUUUAAAGAGAAUGGGUACCCAUUUCCAAUCCGAUUUUAUAGGCAGUUAGCAGAGCUUACAUAUUAUUGACUAGAUGGGAAAUAAAAAAAAAAAAAAAAAAAACACCAAAUGCAUGUCAUUGCAGAUUGUAACAGGCGAUGGAGUAGAAAUUAAAGCACUCUGAAAGUAAAAGAUGACUCCUGUGUGUUUUGCUGACUUUCCUGUGUUCAUGGAGAGAAGCCAGCACAUUGCUGGGUCGAUGUGAGAAUUUAAUGAUCAGGAUCUGUGCGAGUAACCCCUGGAUGCUAGGAAAUGGUGAUGAGCAUCCAUAGAUGGGGAGACCUGUGGGAGUGUAGUGGUCUUGGCUCCUAAUGCCAGAUGACACGCUUGCUAACUGCAGGUGUGAACAUGUUCUCAGAUGUUCCAAUUCUCAAUUUUUUUUCUUCUGUCAAUUGUUUCAUCUAUCCUGGAUAUAAUAAGAUGGCUUUAAAAGAAGAGUUUUCUGUGUUGACCAAAUGAUGAAAGUUUUAAAAUAACAAAGCCUUUUCUUGCCAUGGUAAAAUUUAAAUACCUAGGUAAAAUAGUCAAGGGUUAAAUUGUCAUUUGUGAAGUUGGAUAGGAUUUUAUUGAUAUAUUUGUUCAAGCUGAAACAAGGUCUUAUGUGACGCCUGAGUUGGACGUUAUGUUUCUCUCCCAUGUUGAUGCUUUGACUGGUGGCGAGUGUCAGGAUCUCAUCCCUUCUGCAGUCUGAGGGCUUUGGAACCCAGUUGUCCAGUAGCUCUUGGGCCCAGUCAACUUUACUUCAAGGAACCCACAAAGACUGUUAACUUUUUACAUGUGGACAAGAGGCAAAUGUUUCUUUCAAGAGUAAAUAGUUAUUAUAUUGCUUUUCAAGUGAUACUUAAAAUUUUCAUCGACAUGCUUAUUUGAAAGCAUUGUAAAUACUGGGAAUCAAAACACAGAAGUAUGUAGUCUUUGAGAAGGACUUAACUUAUUUUUAGGUAUAUGUGGAAAUCUGCUUAAUGCAAAUAUCAACUUAAAUUUUUUGAAUUGACCAAUCCUCCUAAAAAAUUAAAUAUACAGAAAAAUAUUGCUUCUCCCUAGAAUAGUAUUUCUUAAAAUUAAAGUUGGAAGACAUGUCUUUAAAGUAAAUUGACCCAAGGAGACAUUCUUAAUGUACAUUAUAUUUACUAACAUUCAGGAUACUAAAAUUAAAAACAGAGAAAUGUGAAGAGAGUAGUUUUAACUAGUAAUGGGCUCUAGCAUUUGGGAGGUAGAAGUAGGAGAAUCAGGAAUUCAUGUUCAAGGAUAGCCUGGCAUCCUAUAAAUAAAUAAAUAAAUAAAUAAAUAAAUAAAUAAAUAAAAGGUUACUCUAAAGUAGCAUACUAGAUUCAUUUCACAAUAAUAUGCCAUUUUGAAAAAAAAAUACAUAGGCACCAAAUACUUUCUAAACUGUUUAGGAAAACAGUCGCAUUGCCUUACCUUAUCCUUGCUAGGUAUAUUUAAUAUCAGUUUAUUGUUUGGAUUGAGAUGGAUGCUUAGAACUUCAUCUUCACCAGUUAAGUCGCAAACAAAUGGAGAGAAAGCAUGGUGAACGGACAGUUCUCAUAAUUGAGGACAUCCUCACUUGGAAACCCAUAAAGCUAACAAGCGCACGUUUCAUAAAAACAAUUGACAUUGUUGGAGCUUUUUAUUGGAACAGGAAAGGCCAUUCACCUUUCUUGCCAUUGGAGAGGUCUUUUUCCCUUAGGCUGACUCUUGUGACCACAGCUCCUUGAAAAAUAAGUGGGUCCUGGGAUAUGCAGAUCUCCCACAUGUUGACACAUUUCACUAUAAAAUCUCAAAAGAAAAAUAAAACCUCUUACAUUUACAAAUAUUACCAUCAAGCUCAUCAGAAAAGUUCUGAUGUUUCAGAAAGCUGUUGUGCUCCUGAUGGUAAAUUUAAGCUUUGCACAAUACUCAUUUUUGCUCCAAAGCUUGAAUUUGAGCACUGGCAACAAUACAGCCAUAUGGUUGAUUUCUUCAAGUGGCUAAGUUGCUUCAUUUAUUUUACGGAGAAUGCCUGUUAAAUACUCAAGUCUAAAUGGCCAUAAUUGUCUUUGCGUGUUUAAAGUAAAAAUAAUAUUCCAUGAAAAUGGAACGGUUCGGCUCACAACCCAAAAGCACAACUGCUUUCCUGCCAGACAAGGCCUUCAUGUGGUUUUUCCAGAUGAGAACACUUCCUUCCACUUCCUGUCACCCCCUAUUGCAUAUUAAAAAAAAAUAUCAGAGGUCAAGAUUUAAUUAAAUUGAUAAUGUCUUUUUAUUUUUGCUUCAAGAAUGGUUUGAGUAUUUUUUUUUUUUGGUGGGUUCAAAUUAGCAUUUGUUUUCAAAGUGAGUAAGUGCUGGAGAACUCCUCUGUGAAUACUUAUGGUUUUCAGAGAGAAGGUCUCAUCUGCGGGAGAACACUUCUUUGGCCCAUCAAUGCAAAUGUCAGCACAAUGAAAAGGAUGCUAUUUUACCAACUUUAUGGAAACAGUUUUGACCUCAGAAAUAUUCUGGGAUCAUCCAAUAUCCUUAGGUAACCAAAUUCAAUUAUAUUUGUAUAUGACAACAAUACUGACAUAUUUUGUAUAUUUUUAACAUUAAUAACACUAAAUCUUAGGUUUUGUGAACUACUUUGAUAACCCAAUCACUUUGUUAUCAUUCCAGAUUCCAGUGCAGUUGUCAGUUUUCUUAAGGUACCCCUUCAUGUCAGAAGUGUUCAUUGAUGAGGUUUUGCUGUUAGGAAUUACUCUUAAGUCGUUUUUGAAAAUAUUCUUCCUCCCCUGUGCAUUUGAAUGCAAACAGCAAAUACAUGGCUUCAGGGAUGACCACUCAGCAAUGGAUAAACAAUAAGGCAGGUCAUUCCUAGAGGAGGACAAGCCCCUUUCUCCCAGCGGUCAUUAGUUGCCUAGGAGUUGCCUAGGAGUUGGACCCUGUGAAAUUUUCUCCCUUCUUCAUUAACAUUGAUAUUGUUACUCUUCAAUAAUGUUGACAUUGCCAUUGUUCCAAUAUUGUUUGGGCAGCCAUUCCUAGAGGAGGCUGUCUCACAGUGGACUGACUACCUGGUGUUCUGAUUCCUAUACUCUGUCUGCUUCCUUUUUCAUGAUUUUCCCUGAGCUAAAGAUUGCAGAAGCUGUAAUGUAGAUGUAUCUAUUGGUCCUGGGCUCCCUGUGAUCUGUUUAUCUCUACACUGUGUCCUCCUGUAGUUUUCUGUGGUAGUCUUCAUUAGCUGUGAUGAGGGGUGGUAGCUAGACUUACCUGUAGGUAUAGGAUUAGAUUUGACAGAAGUAAAGGAUAAGCUGGUCUUUCAAAGUAGUGAUAGUGGGUGUUUUCCAAGGCUCAUGAUUAUACUAGAUCCAGAUAGGGUUAACGACCUACUGAAUUAAACUCAGGUAUAAAGUGUGCUAUUACAUUAAAUAUACUAUCAUGUUCACACACUGGAAGAGGAAAUCUGUGAGAAGACACAGAGUUUGCAUAUGAGGAUUUUGUGUACUAUAAGAAGCACAAAACACACAUAACUGGUCCCUCUUUUUGGGGUUUUAAACAGAAUCACACCUUUGGGGUAUAGUAAAAUAACCCCCAAAUGAAAACAUAGAUGGUAAAAUUUGCUUCUCUUUCUUAAUUUUCUUAAUUUUUCAGUUGUUUUUAUAUAGACUAGAGCAGUGUGUUAACUUGCUGUAAUAAAACCUGCCACGCAUGUGCCUAUAACUGGACUCCAGGAGAAAACUCUGCCAGGCAACUGUUUCUUAAUGAUACAAUCUGCAUAUUUUAAUGAGGCUGGAAAUGUAGGAAACUGUGUAGACCCUAGGCUCUGCUCAUUCUGGGUUUUCCCCUAGUAGUCUGUACAUUGUUUCCCUUCAUUAACAUAUUAUAGUGGGAAGUGAGGUUCCGAUCAGCACCCACCAGACUGAUAUAGCUUGACAUUUUCAGACUUGAGAUGAAAUACUAAUAACCUUUCUGUGGCGACUCCAUGUUGUGCUUCGUCUAAUGAUCACUCAAGUCAUAGAGAGGCCACCAUGGCUACCACACUACACAGCAUAACAACAAAGGCAAACUAACUAUGACAGAGCAAGGCUUCUGAAGAUGCAAGGACCAUAUCCCUUUUUCUCUUGUCGUUUCUCUUCCCUUCUCAGUUUUGUUAUACAAGUUUGUGUUGGCAAGUUUUAUACCAACUAGAUAGAGGAUAAAGUCAUUUUGGGAAAAGGGAAAAUGCUCAGUUGACAAAAUGCUCCCGUGGGAUUGGCCUGAAGGCAAACCUGUGGUAUAUUUUCUUGAUUGAUGUGGAAGGUUCCAGCUCACUGUGUGUGGUUUAACUCUGGAACAAUGGUCCUGGGUGCUGUAAGAAAGCAGGCUGAGCAAGCCAUGGGGAGAAAGCCAACAAGAAGGACCUCUCCAUGGCCUCUGCAUCAACUCCUGCCUCCAGGUUCCCACCCUGCUUGAGUUUCUGCUCUGACUUUCUUCAGUUAUGAACUGUAAUGUGAAGUGCAAGUGAAAUGAGCCCUUUCCUUUCCAAGUUGCUUCAGGUCAUGAUGUUUUAUGAUGGUAAUAGAAACCCUAAGAUGGAGUUCUUAAUUUUCUUUGUUUGUUGUACUUUCUCAACUCCUUGAACAUUUGCUUUCUUUUGUGUGUGUGUGUGUGUGUGUGUGGUUUUUUCUUUUUCUUUUUUUAUUUAUGUAUUAGGUGUUUUCUUCAUUUACAUUUCCAAUGCUAUCCCAAAAGUCCCCCAUGCCCUCCCCCACCACUCCCCAACCCACCCACUCCCACUUCUUGGCCCUGGUGUUCCCCUGUACUGGGGCAUAUAAAGUUUGCAAGACCAAUGGGUCUCUCUUCCCAAUGAUGGCCAACUAGGCAAUCUUCUGAUACAUAUGCAGCUAGAGACAUGAGCUCCAGGGUGUACUGGUUAGUUCAUAUUGUUGUUCCACCUAUAAGGUUGCAGACCCCUUUAGCUCCUUGGGUGCUUUCUCUUGUUCCUCCAUUGGGGGCCCUGUAAUCCAUCCAAUAGCUUACUGUGAGCAUCCACUUCUGUGUUUGCUAGGCACCGGCAUAGCCUCACAAGAGACAGCUACAUCUGCUUUCUUAUUUUUAAUUUUCUUUUCUCUAUGUCUUAUACCCACUAACCAAAGGCAGGUACAAUAUGAGUUACUUGAUAUCCAUUAUUUUAUUUAACAUACAAUAUUGUAAAAUAAGGAUAAAUGUAAAUUAUUUCUAUAUAUACAUAAAGACAUAUUCGGGAAUACAAACUUUAUAUGUGUAUAUGAUAUUGAUAAUGCCAGUAUGCAAUUAAAUAAUAUGUUAGAGAUAAGCAUGUAUGAAUUUGGUAAGAUCACAUGAACUGUGUAAUCCAUGCAACUAAAAAGUUGACUCUGAACUGAACCAGACUUAUGUAAACCUGUCAGUAAUCAUGGUUCAUCUUUUACACUAGAACAAUCAGAAGUAUGAAUUAUUUUUAUGUUGCAUUUUUCUUAGCUCCUAAACCACUCAAUUUAAUCAUGUGCAAAUUGAUGGUGGUGUGCUUUACCAGUCUGGCCCAGCUACACAUAAAUAUAUAAAAUUCAGAAUUGUCCUAUAUCAAACUACCUGUACCAAAAAUCCAUGAGGAAAUGCCCAGAACAGAUUGAGCCUUCAAACUGAAGUCAAAGAACAUUUGCAUUUACAUCUAUAUUAUUUGGAUAUGCAUGAUACUUAGAUUACAUUUUAGAAACAUAUUAUCUAAAUGUGCCUUCAAAACUGCUAGAUUAUAAGUGAAUACAUAAUUUGGAAUUGAAAUAAUUUUUACCAAGACAGUCAUCUUUAUAAAAGUAGAUAUUAACAUUUCAAAGGGGAGGUAUUCUCUCUACCUAAACAUCAAGUUUCUUUGGUGGUUAUUAACAUUUUUCAUAGUAUCUCAGACUUACUGCAAUGCAACUUCAUAUUCUAUAUUACCCUGGUCACUUUCCAGAAUUUCUUCACUGUGACUCUUCGGAGGCCUUGAUUAUAAAUUCCUUUCCUUGUAAUGAAAUUCUGGGCUAUACAGAUUGUUGGAACAUUAGUUGCAGUGGGUGAACCAAAGAUUUAUUCAUAGUUCUCAAGAGAAGAGGCAUGGGCCAAAGAAGCAGUCCACUAGAAGAGCUUAAUGUAGAGAUGUCAUGUGACUUCAAAGGCAGAGAUCUGAAUUCACUGUAGUGGUUAUGUGCCAAUAAGCUGGGAUAGUCCAAAAAUCUUCACAUUACCAAAUCACCUGAAGCAGUUGAUACCCUAAAUAAAUCAAGAAAUGUGAUGAACUGUUUCCAAAUAUUACUGUGGGAGGCUACAGAGAUGGUUCAAUGGUUAAGAGUAUUGAGUUAAGAGGACCCUGGUUCAAUUCCCAGUGUCCACAUGUUGGUUCAUCUGUAACUCUAGUUCUUGUGGACUCCAUGCCCUCUUUUGGCCUCUGCAAGCAUCAGACAUACUUGUACUACAGAGACAUGUAGGUAGGAAAAUAUAGCCAAACACAAAAUAAAUGGUCACUUUAAAUAAGCUUUCUAGGGAAGGUUCCGCUGUGUUUGUGUUCAGUCCCUGCUCCUACUGAGCAGGCACAUGAAACACUUCACAAGCUGUCACUUGUGCCUGCGAUAUGCCAACCUGAGGCUUUUCUCAUGCUCUCUUAGCUAACUGUCACUUCCCGUCCAUCCAUGUCAUGAUUCACACAAAUGGCGGCCCACAAUGAGAUUGAUUCAUGGUCGGGUGAGGAAAUUAUGUUGACCGCUGUGUCAGGUACAAAAUGCAUUCUCAAACUAUUGUCCCUUUGUUGAAGAAAAUUAUACCCCAUAAAGAUGCAAAUAGGACCAUGUAUGUAGAGAUGUACAGAAGAUGUAGAAUGUUCUCCUUCUGGAACAGUGCCUGUAAAGUGGUUUCUGUGUUCUCAGUAGUCUACAUUCUUGUUGUAGAAAUCAGGCUUAAGAUUCUGUACCUUAAUACGAAACCUACUUAACUGUGACUCGGACUGUUUGGAUGGUCUAGACACAGUGAAUACUGGAUCUUGUGACCCAUUUGCCUUCUCAACAAAAGCAUGGAUUCAGAUAUGCCAGAAUCACAAUCUUCAUUUUGGGAGGGACAUUGUUUCAAGAAUGUGGCCAAAAUGAGGCUGAUAUGAAAGGCAUCUCUGCUCCUCACAGCUUUUGUGACCCAUCCUCGUUUUCCUGCUGACCACUUUGACCAAAUCUUCAAAAUGUGUUUGGUGUUCUUGCUAAGGCUGAAAAGAACCAUUUCAUGGAGAAUAAACCAUCAUAAACACAAGGUGUAGAAAAGCAGCUGACCCAGCUCAGUAUUUUCUUUGAUUCUGAACUAAUGAUGCUAUUCCUUAAAAAAUGUAUUAUAAUGUGAGUGUUUAGUACGAUGCCCAACAACCUGGAAUCUCUAUAGAAAAUAGGCACAGGUCUGAAAGAUGUAAUAGAUUUUGGACAACAAAAUUGUUGGGUUUUUUUUCCCUUUCAUCUUAUGAAGCAUUUUCUUGAAAGAAUUCUUCAAUAUUUUUCAGUGUCUGGUUGUGUAUACUGUUUAAUCAGUCAUAGAGAAAUGAGAUAUGUGAUUUUGCAUAAAGGUACUUUAGCUUUUUGACAAGGUAGAUGAGUAUCCCAUGUGAUGAGAUUAUUGCUACAUAAAGUUUAUAGAGGAUGUGUACCUACUUCUUGAUCAGGGCCUAGAUUAAACUCUUUUUUUUUUCACUAUUAUUGUAUAGUGAAUUAGUGCAAAAUAAGGUUGACAUUGAUUAAAAAUAUUUUAUUUAUAUUAUCCAUUUUGAGACUUUGUUACAUGUAUAUUAAUUUUUAAGACUUCUACCCUCCCUCUCUUCUGUCAACUUCCUUCUGUGCCUCCUUCAAUUCAUGACCUUAUCUUUCGUUAUAAAUGCAUACAUAAACACAUACACACACACACACACACACACACACACACGGACACACACACACGGACACACACAUACUCACUACUGAGUCCAUUUAGUGUUAUUUGUAUGUGCACAUUUAGGGCUGACACCUUGAGGUUGGAUAAGCCCCCUUCUUAACAAGAUUUUGUUUUGAACUACUAGAGUUUAAAAAAUAUUUCAUUAAUAACUCUUUGCAAGUUUCUUACAAUGGAUUUUGACCAUAUUCACCCAGAACUCCUUUGAACUCCUUCCUAGAUCUACCCCACCCCUAUACUCCCUUCAACUUCAUGACCUUCGAUUUUUCUACAAACACAUCAACUCUUAAUUUGUCAUAGCCAUACACUUCAGGCACCAUCCACUGGAGUAUAGUAUGGGCACCCACCCAGGACCCACACCCUUAAAGAAAACUGAUUCUCUGAUCUGGAAAGAGAUGCUUUGAUGGAUAAGAGCACUUGUUGCUCUUAGAGAAAACCUGGGUUAUAUUCUCAGAACCCACAUGGUGGUUCACAGGCAUCCAUAAUUUCAGUUCCAGUGCACCUGGCAACCUUUUGUGGCCUCUCUGGGCACCAGCUACUCAUAUGGUACAUAUAUAAACAUUCAGGUGAAACAUUCAUACACAUUAAAUAAAAAAAAUCACUAAACCAGAAAAAAAUUGAAUAAAAAACUAUUAUAACUCUCCCAGAAACUAUACUUUUAAGUUAACCUAACAUCAAAAGUGGAAUAAUAAUUUGGAUAUCUAAAAAAAAUAUUUGAAAUUCACAGUUUGAUGUUUCUUGAAUAAAGUUUUGUUGAUUUAUGCCAUUAAUGACAUGCUGUCUGGGGGGUAGACUUCUGCAUUACAGAAGCCUAGUCUAUACUUGCAAUUGAGGUCUGACUAUAGGUGUCCCUCACUAGUGCUCCACAAAUUACAAUGAUAUUGUGGCAACAUCUCCUUUGCCACAUGUCCCCAGGGUGUGAAAAGCCACCUCCAAAGACAAAAGAAGUAAAAGUUCACUGUGAAUCAGCAUUCACAGUGAUUACUUCCAAUAAUUUCUCACAACAGCUACCUCUUACUUUGAACCCAAAUUAAGUACAAUGUUAGUACACACAUGUACAAAGAAUUCCAACAGUUUUAUUAGAAGAAAUGUAGUGCAGACACUCAGUUAUCAGUAUUACAUUUUGAAUGUCCUAAAUAUGUAGGGUUUUUUUCUUGCUAUAAAAUAUUUACUGCAUGUGAUUAAUUGUGUCACCUAGUGUGCAAGGGUUAAGAUACCGGUGUGAUGGGAUCUUGCACAGAAAAGGCAUGGUGCCCACUUUUAUAGAUCGCCAAACACACACAAUUCACAAAGUAGUUAUUUCAUUGUGGGAAAUGUUUCAAUGCAGUGGAGUCAUCCUUUUAAAAAUAAGAUUUUCUCUGAUUGCACAAUAUAUGGUAUUAAUACAAAAUUUUGCUAUGUGAGGUUUUUUUCCCCCCCUUAGUGCUCUGAGACAUAAAGGAAAUACACAGAUACAUUUCUGCCACUGCAACAAUAUAAAAAUAUUCCUGACAUUUCUCAAAUCUUUUAUAUUUUGCAAACUAUAUUCAGUAUCAUAUGAAACUUUGAAUAACUUUUCAUUGUAUUCAAAAAUCCCUGUUAGUAUUAUUUUUCAAACAUGUAUUUGUUAUUUAUUUCAUUUGUAUGCAUGUUUAUCCUCAUGUAUAUCUGUGUGCCAUGUGCAUGUUGAUACCCAGAAAGAAGCAGAAGGUGUUAGAUCCUCUGUAACUGGAGUCCCAGAUGAUUGUGAGCCACCAUGUGGGUGCUAGGAAUUGAACUGUGACCUUUUGAGCCCUUAUUGACAUUACUUUUAUAGGUGAACUUUAGACACUUCUUUAUACAAGCCAUAACCCGGAGCCUCCCUCUGCUAAGACUAUUAACAUAUUUUGGGUUUUACUUUUAUUGCCAUGGAGUUACUAUUAAGAAAAGCUUCUGAAAUUUUAUUUUCUCUGCAUUGGUGUAUUUUUUUCAGAAGUCUUUUUAAAUGAUAUGUCACCUUCAUUCAUUUAAAAUGCUAGCCAACUGAAAAGCUUAGGUAGCCCAACCUAGUUUUUAAUUGACUGAUAAAAUGGAGGCUGCUUUAUUUUACAGAAGCUAGAGAAAGCGUGGAGGCUCUGAUUCUAAAUAGAUGAGUUCUACCAAGCUUUCAAGCUUCCAGAAGCUAGAAUUAGACAGAGAGCCAGCCCAUGGAGAAACUAUUCAAUGACGUGCACUCGUAUGUAUAAAGUGCUUGGCUAAGAUCAGUUUCAGCUACCAAAGGAUGUUAACAACAGCCUGUCUUCCCCUCCUCAGAAAGAGGAAUAUUCCCUCUGAAGAAUGUAUAUAGCUACUGUGGGAAAAGCCUCUCCCACUCUCCAGACUUUGAGAUGCUCCAGCCAUGCUGCUUCAGAUAUUAAUGGCCUAGACCCUUGUCACAGAGCAGCUCAGUCACCCACUAUAUUUGAUUGUUGUAUGAAUUAGAUUAGAUCCUACAUGUAAAACACUUAACUUAGCCUAGAAGGAGUCAGCACUCCAACACCUUCCUACAAACCCCCAGUAAACCUGAGACAUGACAAGAGAGGUCAUCUUAUUCUUGGUGGCCUUUGGAAAAUUCCUCUUGCCUGCAUAGGAGAAUCUCUGCUGCAUGAAACAGAUGUGCUUUGCAGUCAACCUGACUAACCUAAAAGAUUGUGUGUGUGUCCAUGUGUGUGUGUGUGUGUCUGUGUGUGUGUGUGUCUGUGUGUGUGUGUGUCUGUGUGUGUCUGUGUCUGUGUCUGUGUGUCUGUGUGUGUGUGUGUGUGUGUCUGUGUGUGUCUGUGUGUGUGUGUCUGUGUGUGUGUGUGUCUGUGUCUGUGUGUGUGUGUCUGUGUGUGUGUGUCUGUGUGUGUGUGUGUCUGUGUGUGUCUGUGUGUGUGUGUGUGUGUGUGUGUGUCUGUGUGUGUGUGUGUGUCUGUGUGUGUGUGUCUGUGUGUGAGUGUGUGUGUAAGUUUGAGGUCAACAGCACAAACUCCAUUCCACGGCUACUUUUAAAAUCUUCCUUUACUGCUUCCUAUUGAAAUAGUAAAUGUUAACAAAAGAAAUGUUUAAACAAAGCACUAUUAGGCUUUAGUCUAAUGCCUUUUAUGCUUCUGUUUAAUUCAGACAAACUGGCAGGGUUCAUUCUUUUUUUCCUGCUUCACUUAAAAUGGUUACAGAAAAAUGACCUUUCUCACAAUCUGUGUUCUUCCUCAAAUUUAUUUCUCAAGAAUUUUAGUGCACCUUAAUUUUUUAAAGGAAAAAAAACACCUAUUAUAAUUUGUUAAUCUAACUCUGCUGCCAAGUUGGCUAUGUUAACAAUAAACUGGAUGCAAAAACUCCCCCAGCUGGAAUGCUGAGUACCAAGCUGAAAAGUUUGGCAGUUUAAUUGACAUUUUAUAGUGUUCCCAAGCACAAGCAGAAGCUCAUUUCACUCAAGGUUAUAUACAGAUAGAUAGAUAGAUAGAUAGAUAGAUAGAUAGAUAGAUAGAUAGAUAGAGAUGUAUAUAUGUGUGUGUGUGUGUGUUUCAGUUGUUAUAUACAUUAGCAUACAUGUACAUACAUACACAUAUUUAUCUGUCUUGGCAGUUAUACUAUAAAUGGACGAAGUAGGUUUUUUUUCUUUAAUAUACAUGCAUGGAUGCUUAAUGUAACAUAGAAAAGAAGUAAAUGUUUGGUAAUUUGAUAGAGUGUUAGUAUGGAAAGAAGCAUUUUUUCCAUUGCAUUAAUACCAACAGAAAAGACAAAAUAUUCUCCUGUGGGUGGAAUUGUAUAAGUAAAUAAUAAUUUACAUUUUAAAGUAUUCACUCUGACUCCCUAGAAAUGUGCAUAGUGGGGUAGUCUUUGUGAAGUUAAUGAAGAUAAAAACUGGGAUAUGUCUGAAUCUAGUAGAACUGGAGAGAGAGAGAGAGAGAGAGAGAGAGAGAGAGAGAGAGAGAGAGAGAGAGAGAACAUUUUAUGCCAAGUAAAAUGGUACACAUCUUUAGUCCCAGCACUAGUAAGAGAAAGAAGAUGGGGAAAAAAAUCCAGCCAGAGGCCUGACUGGGUUUCUUUGCUCUAGAGUAUAAACAGUGAGUGUCUGAAUGUUUAAGUGUGUGAUUACAAUAGCCCUGGUAAAGUAAUAUGCAUUCCUUACAGGAAAUAGAAUAUCUUACAGAAGUUGUCUACAAUGAACAUCACACUCACAGAAAGAGAGAGAGAGAGAGAGAGAGAGAGAGAGAGAGAGAGAGAGAGAGAGAGA
Mus musculus (house mouse) is the source of this 26510-nucleotide long non-coding RNA. RefSeq annotates it as predicted gene, 53696. The record is from RefSeq and is a predicted model, not a curated record. NCBI's taxonomy places the organism in Eukaryota, Metazoa, Chordata, Mammalia, Rodentia, Muridae. The transcript has 2 exons.